UCUCCAGACUCCUACGGGAGGCAGCAGUGAGGAAUAUUGGUCAAUGGGCGAGAGCCUGAACCAGCCAAGUCGCGUGAGGGAAGACGGCCCUACGGGUUGUAAACCUCUUUUGUCAGGGAGCAAGGUGCAGGUCGGGACCUGCUGUGAGAGUACCUGAAGAAAAAGCAUCGGCUAACUCCGUGCCAGCAGCCGCGGUAAUACGGAGGAUGCGAGCGUUAUCCGGAUUUAUUGGGUUUAAAGGGUGCGUAGGCGGGACGGUAAGUCAGCGGUAAAAAUGCGGAGCUCAACUCCGUCGAGCCGUUGAAACUGCCGUUCUUGAGUGAGCGAGAAGUAUGCGGAAUGCGUGGUGUAGCGGUGAAAUGCAUAGAUAUCACGCAGAACUCCGAUUGCGAAGGCAGCAUACCGGCGCUCAACUGACGCUGAAGCACGAAGGCGUGGGUAUCGAACAGGAUUAGAUACCCUAGUAC
RNAcentral lists this ribosomal RNA (467 nucleotides) under uncultured bacterium. RNAcentral describes it as "bacterial SSU rRNA". It matches the Rfam family "Bacterial small subunit ribosomal RNA", at positions 328 to 793 of the family's 1533-position model. The record is from RNAcentral.